Molecule: ribosomal RNA, 286 nt
Filed under: uncultured prokaryote
Description: partial 16S ribosomal RNA
Rfam family: Bacterial small subunit ribosomal RNA
Source: RNAcentral
UGAGGAAUUUUGCGCAAUGGGAGCAAUCCUGACGCAGCAACGCCGCGUGAGUGAUGAAGGCCUUCGGGUCGUAAAGCUCUGUCAGGUGGGAAGAACAUCCAUGGGAUGAAUAAUGUCAUGGAGUGACGGUACCCCCAGAGGAAGCACCGGCUAACUCCGUGCCAGCAGCCGCGGUAAUACGGAGGGUGCGAGCGUUAUUCGGAAUUACUGGGCGUAAAGCGCGUGCAGGCGGGAAGACAAGUCUGAUGUGAAAGCCCCGGGCUUAACCUGGGAAGUGCAUUGGAAA